Long non-coding RNA from Vigna angularis (adzuki bean), 1219 nucleotides. RefSeq lists it as uncharacterized. The transcript is spliced from 3 exons. NCBI's taxonomy places the organism in Eukaryota, Viridiplantae, Streptophyta, Magnoliopsida, Fabales, Fabaceae. The record is from RefSeq and is a predicted model, not a curated record.
GUUGCAACUCCACAACUUUCAAUCAAUAUUGAGUUUCGCAGCUAGGUUGCUGCUAAAUUCUUCUUCUUCUUCUUCACAUUACAAUCUUCAGUAAGGUUGCUCCUAAAUUCUUCUUCAUCUCGCCACUGUCUCUGCACAAAUCUUCAGUCAUUUUACCAGUCUGAUAAGAUUGAAUAUAGAAGAGUGCUCUCAGUUACACAAGGCUUUUGGUUUUGAACAUGAACCUGAUGGUAGUGGUUUAGAAGAGAUGGAUAAGGAUGGAAAACAAGUACUAUUACAGAACUUGGAAAUUAUAAGACUCAUAAAUUUGCCAAACUUCCAAGAGAUUCACCAUGGAUUUAUGUUAAAAGAUCAUGUUAAUCAAACCAUACAUGAAUGUCCGAAGUAUUCCUCCAGUUUAUAUCUACAUCCAGGUAAAAUUCACAUGGCAUUUUUCUAAACACAAUUACAAUGUCCUUGCAUUAUUAUGUUGUCAAAUGAAAUAUUAUUUUAUUAAGUUUUUGGUUAAACUUUGCUCCAUGAUGAAAUCAUGUAAAUAAACGUAUUUUUUUGGUUAUACUGUGGUAUAAAAAUGGUCAGGUGACGUAUUUUUUCUCUUCUAGAAAUAGGUUAUGUGGAUAAUAUUUAACUUAAUAAUAAAAAGAGGUAGUGCAGCUUACAUCUGUGGUAUAAAAUUAUGCAUGUUUCAUCAUAUUUGAAAUAAUACAAGACAUUUUUUCAAACCAAGAAAACCACUUUAAUGAUGACAACUUUGAAGGAGACUCUGUUCAAAACAUUAUCAGAACAUUAUCCUAACAAAAGAAGAAUAGAAAGAGGUGUAACAGUCUAAACAUGCUCAUCAAUGACUUUUCUGUCGUCUUGCUGUGCUUUUCAAAUCUCCAACACUGCAAAUGUAAUGAAAUUCUUGAUUUUCAGGUGAUACUUGAGAUCAUGUGUUGAUUCAUUCUGCCUUAGUUUUCUAGCUAUCUAAACAUGUGUGACUCCUGUGAACUUGUUUACUUUGUAGAUGUAAUUCUCCAUCAUGUACUUUCAUAUUUUCUUUUCUUCUAUGACUCAUGAUUUUAUAAAUUUUAAUGCAAAAACAUUAAGAUGCUCUCAAACUCUUAGUUCAGGGGAGCCCACAAACUCUAAAAUUCUGUUUUUUACCAUUUGUUAGUCCUUGCAUUAACACUUUUUAAUUUUUCUAAUGGACCAAAAAAAAUGACUAGCCUUAACUCAG